AUUGAACGCUGGCGGCAUGCCUUACACAUGCAAGUCGAACGGUAACGCGGGGCAACCUGGCGACGAGUGGCGAACGGGUGAGUAAAGCAUCGGAACGUGCCCAGUAGUGGGGGAUAGCCCGGCGAAAGCCGGAUUAAUACCGCAUACGACCUAUGGGUGAAAGCGGGGGACUCGCAAGAGCCUCGCGCUAUUGGAGCGGC
RNAcentral lists this ribosomal RNA (200 nucleotides) under uncultured bacterium. RNAcentral's name for it is "partial 16S ribosomal RNA". It matches the Rfam family "Bacterial small subunit ribosomal RNA", at positions 30 to 230 of the family's 1533-position model. The record is from RNAcentral.